RNAcentral lists this ribosomal RNA (484 nucleotides) under uncultured bacterium. RNAcentral's name for it is "partial 16S ribosomal RNA". It matches the Rfam family "Bacterial small subunit ribosomal RNA", at positions 30 to 507 of the family's 1533-position model. The record is from RNAcentral.
AUUGAACGCUGGCGGCAGGCCUAACACACGCAAGUCGAGCGGAUGAAGGGAGCUCGCUCCUGGAUUCAGCGGCGGACGGGUGAGUAAUGCCUAGGAAUCUGCCUGGUAGUGGGGGAUAACGUCCGGAAACGGGCGCUAAUACCGCAUACGUCCUGAGGGAGAAAGUGGGGGAUCUUCGGACCUCACGCUAUCAGAUGAGCCUAGGUCGGAUUAGCUAGUUGGUGGGGUAAAGGCCUACCAAGGCGACGAUCCGUAACUGGUCUGAGAGGAUGAUCAGUCACACUGGAACUGAGACACGGUCCAGACUCCUACGGGAGGCAGCAGUGGGGAAUAUUGGACAAUGGGCGAAAGCCUGAUCCAGCCAUGCCGCGUGCGUGAAGAAGGUCUUCGGAUUGUAAAGCACUUUAAGUUGGGAGGAAGGGCAGUAAGUUAAUACCUUGCUGUUUUGACGUUACCAACAGAAUAAGCACCGGCUAACUUCGUG